Molecule: ribosomal RNA, 422 nt
Filed under: uncultured crenarchaeote
Lineage: Archaea; Thermoproteati; Thermoproteota
Description: bacterial SSU rRNA
Rfam family: Archaeal small subunit ribosomal RNA
Source: RNAcentral
GGUUUUUCCUNCCUNCAAGCCACGGAGNNGACGCAGCGAACGGCUCAGUAACACGUGGCCAACCUGCCCUUGGGACGGAGAUAACCCCGGGAAACUGGGGACAACAACCGAUAGGUGAGAAGGCCUGGAACGGUUUCUCGCCCAAAAGACGCCGGGACCAUGCUUCCAGCGUCGCCCAAGGAUGGGGCUGCGACCGAUCAGGUAGUUGGUGAGGUAACGGCUCACCAAGCCUAUAACCGGUACGGGCCGUGAAAGCGGGAGCCCGGAGAUGGGUACUGAGACAAGGACCCAGGCCCUACGGGGCGCAGCAGCUACGAAAACUCUGAAAUGUGCGAAAGCGCGACAGGGCUAUCCCGAGUGCCGUCCGCUGAGGAUGGCUUUUUCUCUGGUGUAAUGAGCCGGGNGAAUAAGCGGGGGGGCAA